This 253-nucleotide ribosomal RNA is filed under the name uncultured bacterium. RNAcentral's name for it is "partial 16S ribosomal RNA". It matches the Rfam family "Bacterial small subunit ribosomal RNA", at positions 524 to 776 of the family's 1533-position model. The record is from RNAcentral.
UACGAAGGGGGCUAGCGUUGCUCGGAAUUACUGGGCGUAAAGGGUGCGUAGGCGGCGCGGUAAGUCGGGUGUGAAAUCUCGGGGCUUAACUCCGAAACUGCAUUCGAUACUGCCGUGCUUGAGGACUGGAGAGGAGACUGGAAUUUACGGUGUAGCGGUGAAAUGCGUAGAUAUCAGGAGGAACACCGGUGGCGAAAGCGCUCGUCUGGCCCAAUACUGACGCUGAUGCGCGAAAGCUAGGGGAGCAAACGGG